Molecule: ribosomal RNA, 310 nt
Filed under: uncultured bacterium
Lineage: Bacteria
Description: bacterial SSU rRNA
Rfam family: Bacterial small subunit ribosomal RNA
Source: RNAcentral
AUUGAACGCUGGCGGCAGGCCUAACACAUGCAAGUCGAACGGUAACAGGAAGCAGCUUGCUGCUUUGCUGACGAGUGGCGGACGGGUGAGUAAUGUCUGGGAAACUGCCCGAUGGAGGGGGAUAACUACUGGAAACGGUAGCUAAUACCGCAUAAUGUCGCAAGACCAAAGAGGGGGACCUUCGGGCCUCUUGCCAUCGGAUGUGCCCAGAUGGGAUUAGCUUGUUGGUGAGGUAACGGCUCACCAAGGCGACGAUCCCUAGCUGGUCUGAGAGGAUGACCAGCCACACUGGAACUGAGACACGGUCCAG